UUCUGUAGGAUGAAUGUCCAUUCAUGCUAUAUAAACUGAAAUAUCUACAUUAUAUUUUUCCAUGUGUUGAUGUUGGUUUUUUUUUUGUUUGUGUUUUUGUUGUUUUGUUUUGUUUUCAUUUACCACUAAAAAUACUUCAUAGCCAUAUAUUUGAGUAUUUGCACUUACUUCAUCUGGUACAGGUUGUUGGUUCCUCUGUGAUCAAUGUCAUGGCAGAAAGCAGCGGCAACCAUGGCAAAGGCUUCUAGAUCAGUAUAGUAUUUCUUUAUUCUGCCUGUCUGUAAAAGAAAAGAAGCAACUCUGAGUGUGCGCCUGCCUUGAAAGAAAAACUAAAUAAUGAAUGUAAAGUUAAUAUUAGCAGUAUUACCAUCAGCAGAGUAAACAUUGUUUGCCCCACAUUGAAUCCAUGCCGCCAGUUGUGGUAAGUGAUAUCUCGAUAGCCCUUCCUGACUGUGUACAUCCAUCUUGUAAGGACCUGUUAUGAUUAAAAGUGGUUGAUACUGUGCUGUUAACUGAAAGAAAAUUAUAAAAUUUCUAUAAAAUUAAUGGAACAUACUAUAAAAUUACUGGGAUAACAUGCAAGUUCUAUUAAAUUAAACAUGGCAGCAGCAAAAUGUUCUUAUGUAAAUGUAUGUUGAUUUAAUUCCUUCCACAAGUCACACAAUUUCAGGAUCAGUUUUAAGACUUUAUGACAGAUAUGCAAAUGCUUAAGAAUGAAUAUUGUUAUCCAUAAAAUAACUAAUCCUACUCAUACUUAAUAUAGCUUACUUCUAUAUUAAAGUACCAACAGCCAGCUAUUUUUGUUCUAUCUUAAAAGAAACAUAAACAAGAUGAAAAAAAAAAGUCAGACCUCUGCUGGGACUUUGAACUUUUCAACAACAUUUAUCUCAAAGAACAGUCGUAUUCCACAAGUUAUCAGGCCAUGCUCUGUAACGGGAAAGUCACUGAAGCGGAAUUCAUAUAGUUCUAAAUCUUUUGGAUCAGGCCAGCACCAUCCUAAUCACUUGUUGCUCUUCAAGUAGAGAGAUUUAAGAAUAUUUAUUUCUGUUUUCUUUAAAAGGAGAACUGUAUAGGGACGUCUCACUUAACAGACAUCUGAAUCCCCGAUCUGCAACUACUUAAAAGGGACCUGCAUACACCAAGUGAGUUGAAUCAGCGGAAUA
Cygnus olor (mute swan) is the source of this 1163-nucleotide long non-coding RNA. RefSeq lists it as uncharacterized. The transcript is spliced from 3 exons. The record is from RefSeq and is a predicted model, not a curated record. Lineage: Eukaryota; Metazoa; Chordata; Aves; Anseriformes; Anatidae.